GCUUGUCUCAAAGAUUAAGCCAUGCAUGUCUAAGUACAAGCCUCAGUAAGGUGAAACCGCGAAUGGCUCAUUAAAUCACACCUAAUCUACUGGAAAGUUACUAGUUACUUGGAUAACUGAGGUAAUUCUUGAGCUAAUACAUGCGAAAAAUCUCGACUCACGGAGAGAUGCUUUUAUUAGAUCAAAACCAAACGGCUUCGGCCGUCUCAUUGGUGACUCUGAAUAACUUUGGGCUGAUCGUAUGGCCUUGUGCCGACGACGUUUCCUUCGAAGGUGUGCCCUAUCAACUUUCGAUGGUAAGGUAUUGGCUUACCAUGGUUACAACGGGUAACGGGGAAUUAGGGUUCGAUUCCGGAGAGGGGGCCUGAGAAAUGGCCACCACUUCCAAGGAAGGCAGCAGG
Molecule: ribosomal RNA, 401 nt
Filed under: Crustacea environmental sample
Lineage: Eukaryota; Metazoa; Arthropoda
Description: partial small subunit ribosomal RNA
Rfam family: Eukaryotic small subunit ribosomal RNA
Source: RNAcentral